AGUGAACGCUGGCGGUGCGCCUAAUACAUGCAAGUCGAGCGCAGGAAGCUGACGGAACUCUUCGGAGGGAAGGCAGUGGAAUGAGCGGCGGACGGGUGAGUAACACGUAAGGAACCUGCCUCAAGGAUUGGGAUAACUCCGAGAAAUCGGAGCUAAUACCGGAUAGUUCAACGGACCGCAUGGUCCGCUGAUGAAAGGCGCUCCGGCGUCACCUUGAGAUGGCCUUGCGGUGCAUUAGCUAGUUGGUGGGGUAACGGCCCACCAAGGCGACGAUGCAUAGCCGACCUGCGAGGGUGAUCGGCCACACUGGGACUGAGACACGGCCCAGACUCCUACGGGAGGCAGCAGUAGGGAAUCUUCCACAAUGGACGAAAGUCUGAUGGAGCAACGCCGCGUGAGUGAUGAAGGUUUUCGGAUCGUAAAACUCUGUUGUAAGGGAAGAACACGUACGAGAGGGAAUGCUCGUACCUUGACGGUACCUUACGAGAAAGCCACGGCUAACUACGUGCCAGCCGCCGCGGUAA
This 524-nucleotide ribosomal RNA is filed under the name uncultured bacterium. Its description in RNAcentral is "partial 16S ribosomal RNA". It matches the Rfam family "Bacterial small subunit ribosomal RNA", at positions 29 to 523 of the family's 1533-position model. The record is from RNAcentral.